RNAcentral lists this ribosomal RNA (496 nucleotides) under uncultured manure pit bacterium P314. RNAcentral's name for it is "bacterial SSU rRNA". It matches the Rfam family "Bacterial small subunit ribosomal RNA", at positions 7 to 502 of the family's 1533-position model. The record is from RNAcentral.
GAGAGUUUGAUCCUGGCUCAGGAUGAACGCUGGCGGCGUGCUUAACACAUGCAAGUCGAGCGAAGCACUUUAUUUAGAUUUCUUCGGAAUGAUGAAUUUUGUGACUGAGCGGCGGACGGGUGAGUAACGCGUGGGUAACCUACCUCAUACAAGGGGAUAACAGUUGGAAACGGCUGCUAAUACCGUAUAAGACCGCAGUAUCGCAUGAUACAGUGGUAAAAACUCCGGUGGUAUGAGAUGGACCCGCGUCUGAUUAGCUAGUUGGUAAGGUAACGGCUUACCAAGGCGACGAUCAGUAGCCGACCUGAGAGGGUGACCGGCCACAUUGGGACUGAGACACGGCCCAAACUCCUACGGGAGGCAGCAGUGGGGAAUAUUGCACAAUGGGCGAAAGCCUGAUGCAGCGACGCCGCGUGAGUGAUGACGUAUUUCGGUAUGUAAAGCUCUAUCAGCAGGGAAGAAAAUGACGGUACCUGACUAAGAAGCCCGGCUAAUA